This 301-nucleotide ribosomal RNA is filed under the name uncultured bacterium. Its description in RNAcentral is "partial 16S ribosomal RNA". It matches the Rfam family "Bacterial small subunit ribosomal RNA", at positions 509 to 807 of the family's 1533-position model. The record is from RNAcentral.
CAGUAGCCGCGGUAAUACGAGGGGGGCAAGCGUCGUUCGGAAUUAUUGGGCGUAAAGGGCGCGUAGGCGGUUUGACAAGUCUGAUGUGAAAUCUCUGGGCUCAACCCAGAGUCUGCAUCGGAAACUGUCGAGCUUGAGUAUGGGAGAGGUGAGUGGAAUUCCCGGAGUAGCGGUGAAAUGCGCAGAUACCGGGAGGAACGCCGAUGGCGAAGGCAGCCCCCUGGGCCAAUACUGACGCUCAUGCACGAAAGCGUGGGGAGCAAACAGGAUUAGAUACCCCAGUAGUCCCUGUCUCUUAUAC